RNA transcript from Gadus macrocephalus (Pacific cod), 6356 nucleotides. It is a transcript of the gene named Ets2 repressor factor, with no coding region annotated. NCBI's taxonomy places the organism in Eukaryota, Metazoa, Chordata, Actinopteri, Gadiformes, Gadidae. The record is from RefSeq and is a predicted model, not a curated record. The transcript has 6 exons.
GACACCCCGACAGAGCCAGAGAGAGGGGGGAGGCACAGAGUAAGAGAGUGAGUGGAAAAAGAAAAAGUCCGGCGGAGAGAGAGAGAGAGGGAGCGAGAGACGAAAAGAGAGAGAAAGAAAAAAAAAAACGGUGGAUCCAUUUUAUUGGAGGGGGGGGGAACGCGGAUCACAUUUUCACGCCACCGCUGAUGUUUUGUUUGGGGGUCGCGACUCGAGGAUGAAGUUGAGGAGGACGGAGAAGGAGAUUCGACCACGCGACAUCGUGGCGCACAGUAACUUCGCCGUUUAGUCUGGUGAACGUGUUCCAGUCGCCGUAGCCACGUUCGUUCCCUCGCGCAUAGACGGCCCCGACUCCUCCGAACUUCGAGGCGCGCCGCCGCUGCCCUGUCGCUCGCGGGCGGAUCAUCGCGAGGCCCCGCGCGCAACUUUUCUCCUCCUCCGCCUCGCGCGGAGUGACUGACGCUCAUCGCGAAAAGUUACCGUCGACAUAUACAAGUCGAACCCACCGCUCCGCUGGACAUGGAGCAGUGACCGGAGAGAGGGUGUUGAGUACCGGGUGGGUUGAAGUGAGUUUGUCGGGGUUUUCAACGGAGAGCUUUUCGUGCCACUUUUUUGCGGGACUUUGCGAGAACAACACCGGGGACGGAGCGGGUGUUGAGCCCCGCGGCGACCUGCUGCUAGCUGCUGCUGCUAGCGACCAGGCUAGCGCCAGAAAGUUCCCCGGAUCGACGUGGAGGGACCGGCCGAGGACCGGCGCCACCCAGCUGACAUGAAGACCCCGGGAGAACCGGGGUUCGCCUUCCCGGAGUGGGCCUACAAGCCCGAGUCCAGCCCGGGCUCCAGACAGAUCCAGCUGUGGCACUUCAUCCUGGAGCUGCUGAGGAAGGAGGAGUACCACGAGGUGAUCGCCUGGCAGGGCGACUACGGGGAGUUCGUCAUCAAGGACCCCGACGAGGUGGCACGGCUGUGGGGGGCGCGCAAGUGCAAACCCCAGAUGAACUACGACAAGCUGAGCCGUGCACUGAGGUAUUACUACAACAAGAGGAUCCUCCAUAAGACCAAGGGGAAACGCUUCACCUACAAGUUCAACUUCAACAAGCUGGUCCUGGUGAACUACCCCUUCAUCGACAUGGGCUCUGGACGCGUCCCCCAGAGCGCCCCGCCCAUCACCAGCGGCGGCUCCCACUUCCGUUUCCCGCCCUCCACGCCGUCGGAGGUGCUCUCCCCCAGCGAGGACCUCCGCAGCCCGGGGGUGUUCAGCGGCGUGGCGCGGCGCAUGGCGCGGGGCUCCGUCAGCGACUGCAGCGACGGCACCUCCACCAACUCGGAGCUGGAGGAGACGGUGGGGGGGGGCGGCGGCGGGGGCGGGGCCCCCGGCGACGACCGGGGCCUGGGGGGCCCCGACCGCUCCUUCAGGGGCCUCCUGCCGCCGCGCAUGACCCACGAGUCCCUGUUCCGCAUGUACGGCUCCGGGGCGCACCUGGCCCGGCCCACCCCCCGGGUCCACUCGGAGCAGCUGUCCCCCUUCCCCGUGUCCCCGCUGCCCGGCCCCGGGGGCCACCUGGGCCCCACGCUCUCCCCGGGGCUGUCCAUGACGCCGGGCUCCCACCUGCCCUACACCCCGUCCCCCUCCAUGUCCUCCCCCAUGCUGGGCUCCCACUUCUCCUUCAACGCGGACGACAUGAAGCGCUACCUGCAGGCCCACGCCCAGUCGGUGUACAACUACCACCUGAGCCCCCGCGCCUUCCUGCACUACCCCAACAUCCUGAUCCCCCAGCCGCACCGGCCCGCGCCCCCGCCGCCGCCGCCGCCGCCGCAGCCCGCCCACGACAAGCCCCCCGCCCACCACCUGCUGCACGCCCCCCCGCCGCCCAUGCACCUCUCCCAUUCGCUGGCGGGGUCCCUGGGGGCGGGGCUGGACGACCAGCAGCACCCCUCCCCCUUCAAGUUCAAGCUGCAGCCGCCGCCGCUCGGACGCAAGCAGCGGGACGGGGGCUGCUCCUCCUCCUCCUCUUCCUCCUCCUCCUCCGCCCACGGCCAAUCGGCGGCCUCCGCGGGCUCCGGCAUGCACUCUAACCACGCUGCCAUGGCGACGCCCAAGAUCAAGGUGGAGCCCAUCUCCGACAACGAGUCCGAGGAGGUGGAGGUGACCGACAUCAGCGAGGAGGACGAGCAGAUGAAUCACCACGGCGACGACGACGACGACGACUACGGCGACGACGACGAGGGCGACGUGUUCACCCCGACCAGCCGACCCAAGCUCCUCCCCCACCACCAGCACCACCAGCACCCCCACCACCACCACGCCCUCCACCGCUACAUCCCCGGCCACCUGCAGCUCGGCAACGGGACCGCCGGCCGGCCCCCGCCUCCGCUCCAUAGCAACAAGCCGCCGCAGCAUCAGCACCACCCCCACCACCACCACCACCACCCGGAGGAGGACGACGAGGACGAGGACGUCUUCAAGACCCCGGCCACGCCCCCUCUGAGCGCGGGCCUCCCGCCCCUCCCCCUGCUGAGCCUGAAGAGCGAGCCGGGUCAGGGGUCGGCUCCCAUCAGCCCCGGCGGCACGCUGUGCAUCCCCCUCAAGCUGCGCUUCAAGCGGCGCUGGAGCGAGGACCAGAAGAUGGAGGCGGACGGCGAGAGGGAGGAGGCGGAGGACAAGAAGGUGCGGAGCGCCGAGCAGGAGGACGGGGAGGCGGCCAGAGCAGCAGCGGCGGCAGCAGCAGCAGUAGGAGGAGGGGCAGGGGGAGCGGUGGAGGGCCUGGGGGUGGCCCCGCCCACCCAGCGUCGCUCCUCCUCUGAGCUGCAGAGGGCCACCGCCCAGCUGUCCCUGGAGAACUCCGGCUGCUGAGACACGCGCGCACGGUCACGCACACGCACACACGCCCAGGCAGCGCCCCACCGACGCCUUAACGCAUGAGGACACACACCUGCGAGACCAGACCCUCAUGAGUGUGUGAACCUGUGUGUGUGUGUGUGUGUGUGUGUGUGUGGGGGGGGGUGCCUUCAGCACCUCCACACAUCCAACAUGAACACGGCAGAAUGUCUCUCUGCUUCGACCUUCUAACACUAAAGACUGAACCUCUACUCAGCCUCAAACUCACCCCGUGGGGCCCCCAUUCUGGGCCCCUGUUCUACCAAGAGCCCCCUCGAUGCGGCCCCCAGAUGUUUGAACUCGCACAACACAAGUCCAUGUUUCUCUGCAGGUUCCAGAAGAGGGCUUGGAGUCCAGCUGUGUUGGCCGGUCAGGAUGAUAAGCAUCCGGGUCCACUUACCCCUUCACCUGUCCUUAACGCGUUUCACCUGUCCUUAACGAGCUCACCUGUCCCUAACGAGUCCCUCUAAUCAACCUGCCUGAUUGGAUGUGGCUAAUCGGAGCAGCGUCCGAUCCUCCAGCAGCGUGAUGUGAUGAAAUAUAAAUGAAUUACACGAAAUGGAGGUGGGAGGCCUCUAGGCCACACCCACAAACGCCACCCCUCCCCCGACAAGAUGGAGGACGCUUCAACAACACAAUUAUAAACAGUCAAUGAAAUUGGAUCACAUGACCAGUCUGGUUCCGACAAGGCGAUCAAAGUGUCUUACUCUGAAAGGAACAAACCAAUCACAGCCUUCAAACCUAAUGACCGGAACUAGCCAAUCACAGCCUUCAAACCUAAUGACCGGAACUAGCCAAUCACAGCCUUCAAACCUAAUGACCGGAACUAGCCAAUCACAGCCUUCGAACAAGGAACUGCAUCAAGGCAGCCUCACCCCCACCCCCCCCCCCCCACCCCCCCCCCCCCCCCCACACACGUCUGGCGGACGUUAAACCAAUCAGAACAGCAGACGGUCAGUCGCUCACGGGCCAGGUAAGGCCUCUGAUUGGACACCAUGUUAGGCUUCUCCCUCCCCACGGUUCGAGGACGCUGAUUGGUAGAGAGCGCCGUACGGAACCCUGUAAUUAUGUACACUUUCUCCUUUUCAACCAAUGGGCUUUGAGAGAAUUGCGGGGGACCGGCCAAUGGGAGGGAGUCGGGAGGAGGAGCUGGGGCAUUGGUUGACUCCUCCUCCUCCUGAAGAGAAAACUGUUUAUAUAUACAAGCAGAAGUGGUGUAUCUGUAUGCGCUGUGUGUCUCAGUGUUCUCCAAGGACAGUAGUGCCUCAGAGUGAGGGAGAGAGAGAGAGAGAGAGUGAGGGAGAGAGAAGAGAGUGAGAGAGAGACAGAGAGAGAGAGAGCGAGCGACUGGCUCUGAGGGCGUUCGGAGAUCCGCUGAUCGCCCCGUUCUGUCCUCUUUUUGUCUCUAUUUUCGGCGCGUUGUGUGUGCGAUAAUGGCCCGUCUGUUGCCUCGGUCCGCCUCGGGCCCCGUCGUCGUGACGACCGGGCUGCGUGACGACGGGUGAUGUGCUCGACGACAACAAGGACCACAACAGGAAUGCCCACGACGUACGCCUCCACGAGACGUUUUAAACACACGCUCUUUUCUACGACGUUUUAUCAGUAUAGUGUAAAAGAAAUUGAUAUAAUGCGCCCAUUUUAACGAACAAAAAGACGACGAAGAAUACUGUGCCUUUUUUUAGAAAGCCCCUCCCCCUUUUAGCCAAACGACUCAGAGGACCAUCAUGCCUUCUGUUUUUAUUUAAAAAAAGAACUACAAAAUAAAAGCACAACGGACGCAUAAAUACUAUAUUUGAAUAUCUAUGGAAACGAAAAGAAAAUGCUAUAUUUCACUGCCGCCAUUUCAUACCGAUCAUGAAGAAUCCUUUCUAUUUUUGAGUGCUAUAUCUAUAUAUGUCUAGAUAUAGAUAUAGAGAGAGAGAUAUAUCUAUUUGACUGGCCGUAUUCUCAGCGGUGUUCUGCAGCCGGGUAUGACAGUAGCUCCUGUAUAUUUUCAUAGUAUUGACACAACAGGGUCCCUCGUCUCCUGGCUGUUUGUUUCCACGUCCCGGCGCGCCCAGGUGGGUGGGGCAACCGGGCAGGAGUGGUUUAAGUCGACCGCCGGUGGAAACACACAUGGAACAGCUUUCCCCCCCCCCCCCCGGCCAACGGCCGUGCUGCUGUCUGGCAGCGGCGAGUGGGGCCCCGCCCUGCUGGCCCCGCCUGGCCGGGGCGCUCCGUAGGGUAAAACAAACACGCCUUCGCUCAGGUCUGGGCGGAAAGGGGCGGGUUGUUAAAGUGUACGUCCUGGGGUAGGACGCGCGCGCGCGCACACACACACACACAGACACAGACACAGACACACACACACACACACACACCCUCCUACACACCCUCGUACACAAAGCGUGGCUUCACUGUGGCUGCCAGCGGGGACGGUGACAUCACACGUGACAUCAGACACCCCUACACACUCUCUGGUGUAGACGGCAUAACCAUAGCUACCGCACACAUCCAGACGCACACACACGCUCAGGGCAGACACACACACACCAGACACACAGAGCCGUUCUGAAAGAGGGGGAAAUGACAUCACAGAAACCACAAAAUAGACUGCAAGGGAGGGACUUCCCGGAAUCCGAAGUGCGCGUGUGUGUGUGUGUGUGUGUCUGUGAUUUAAAGGCAGCCGGCAGGCUUUUGAACCUCGUAGUUUUGUACCGUCACGUCCGAUUGUUAAAAGUUACCAGCGACGCUCUCGUUCCUCCGAAGAGAAACCCCGAGCUAACGUUAAACACCCAGCGAUGCACACACUGCCCAGACCAUUGCUGCCUUGCCAGUUGCUUGAAGCCAAUAAAAUCACUUUUGCCGUUAAAAUAUCCUCCCACAAAACUCCCCGAUGACGAUUAUUUUUUAUCCUUUUCUAGUAUUUGUUCCCCCUUCCUUCCGACUUGUAUUACUGUUACUCUUGUAAUUAUAUUAUUAACAUAACGUUUUGUUCCUUCUUGCCAAAUGCCCGCCUCUUCCUGAAGCUUCGUAUUUUCGUUCUCGGCGUCGCGCCUUUUGAGUCCCUGCAGAGGUUAACCAGCUAGUUAACCGUUAACCGGCUAGUUAGCCUUCUAGUUAGCCUAGCUAGCUAUCCAUGCUAGCCGCGUGGCUUAACCGCAACCUUUCACAACCAGCAACACAAGAGGGGUUUGAGUUAUCAACUGCUUUUUAUUUGAACAAUUCGGUUGUUUUAAUUUCCUUUUAUUUUAUUUUAUUUUUUACCUUUUUAUGUAUAUAUCUAUAACUUUCUUUCCAUUUCGGAGGGGUGUAUUCUUGUAAGAAGCGUUGAUUUAUUUUGUUUAACCUUGGUAUUUGAGCAUGUCGCCCUCCAGGAUGAAGAGAGGGGAGGAGGGGCAUGGAACAGACAUCUGUAUUUUGUUUAUCUUGUAUCUUUUCAUCUUCAUUUGUAAUUAAACAGUAAUCAGGGUACAUUAAAAAAACAGGUUAAAAUGGA